RNAcentral lists this ribosomal RNA (409 nucleotides) under Enterobacteriaceae bacterium AE_61. RNAcentral's name for it is "bacterial SSU rRNA". It matches the Rfam family "Bacterial small subunit ribosomal RNA", at positions 1 to 415 of the family's 1533-position model. The record is from RNAcentral. Lineage: Bacteria; Pseudomonadati; Pseudomonadota; Gammaproteobacteria; Enterobacterales; Enterobacteriaceae.
UAGAGUUUGACCUGGCUCAGAUUGAACGCUGGCGGCAGGCCUAACACAUGCAAGUCGAACGGUAGCACAGAGAGCUUGCUCUCGGGUGACGAGUGGCGGACGGGUGAGUAAUGUCUGGGAAACUGCCCGAUGGAGGGGGAUAACUACUGGAAACGGUAGCUAAUACCGCAUAACGUCGCAAGACCAAAGUGGGGGACCUUCGGGCCUCACACCAUCGGAUGUGCCCAGAUGGGAUUAGCUAGUAGGUGGGGUAAUGGCUCACCUAGGCGACGAUCCCUAGCUGGUCUGAGAGGAUGACCAGCCACACUGGAACUGAGACACGGUCCAGACUCCUACGGGAGGCAGCAGUGGGGAAUAUUGCACAAUGGGCGCAAGCCUGAUGCAGCCAUGCCGCGUGUAUGAAGAAGGC